UUGCUCCCGGAUGUUAGCGGCGGACGGGUGAGUAACACGUGGGUAACCUGCCUGUAAGACUGGGAUAACUCCGGGAAACCGGAGCUAAUACCGGAUAGUUCCUUGAACCGCAUGGUUCAAGGAUGAAAGACGGUUUCGGCUGUCACUUACAGAUGGACCCGCGGCGCAUUAGCUAGUUGGUGGGGUAAUGGCUCACCAAGGCGACGAUGCGUAGCCGACCUGAGAGGGUGAUCGGCCACACUGGGACUGAGACACGGCCCAGACUCCUACGGGAGGCAGCAGUAGGGAAUCUUCCGCAAUGGACGAAAGUCUGACGGAGCAACGCCGCGUGAGUGAUGAAGGUUUUCGGAUCGUAAAGCUCUGUUGUUAGGGAAGAACAAGUGCGAGAGUAACUGCUCGCACCUUGACGGUACCUAACCAGAAAGCCACGGCUAACUACGUG
Molecule: ribosomal RNA, 442 nt
Filed under: Bacillus sp. (in: firmicutes)
Lineage: Bacteria; Bacillati; Bacillota; Bacilli; Caryophanales; Bacillaceae
Description: bacterial SSU rRNA
Rfam family: Bacterial small subunit ribosomal RNA
Source: RNAcentral